Molecule: ribosomal RNA, 465 nt
Filed under: Vreelandella stevensii
Lineage: Bacteria; Pseudomonadati; Pseudomonadota; Gammaproteobacteria; Oceanospirillales; Halomonadaceae
Description: partial 16S ribosomal RNA
Rfam family: Bacterial small subunit ribosomal RNA
Source: RNAcentral
CCUACGGGAGGCAGCAGUGGGGAAUAUUGGACAAUGGGCGAAAGCCUGAUCCAGCCAUGCCGCGUGUGUGAAGAAGGCCUUCGGGUUGUAAAGCACUUUCAGUGGGGAAGAAAGCCUUGGGGCUAAUACCCUCGAGGAAGGACAUCACCCACAGAAGAAGCACCGGCUAACUCCGUGCCAGCAGCCGCGGUAAUACGGAGGGUGCGAGCGUUAAUCGGAAUUACUGGGCGUAAAGCGCGCGUAGGCGGUCUGAUAAGCCGGUUGUGAAAGCCCCGGGCUCAACCUGGGAACGGCAUCCGGAACUGUCAGGCUAGAGUGUAGGAGAGGAAGGUAGAAUUCCCGGUGUAGCGGUGAAAUGCGUAGAGAUCGGGAGGAAUACCAGUGGCGAAGGCGGCCUUCUGGACUGACACUGACGCUGAGGUGCGAAAGCGUGGGUAGCAAACAGGAUUAGAUACCCUGGUAGUC